GUUGAGUUAACGGAAAUGAGAAUUGAAAGUUGAGCAAACUCAAAAGCAAAACUUAAAAUGUUAUGUUUAAUUGCCCAACUUAAAACUCUGCUGAAGUUUGUUACUUUACAAUUUUGAGUUCUGCUAGCUUUUUUUUUUUUUUACAGUGUAAAGUGAAAUAAAA
Sebastes umbrosus (honeycomb rockfish) is the source of this 163-nucleotide long non-coding RNA. RefSeq lists it as uncharacterized. The record is from RefSeq and is a predicted model, not a curated record. NCBI's taxonomy places the organism in Eukaryota, Metazoa, Chordata, Actinopteri, Perciformes, Sebastidae. The transcript has 3 exons.